Molecule: ribosomal RNA, 407 nt
Filed under: uncultured bacterium
Lineage: Bacteria
Description: bacterial SSU rRNA
Rfam family: Bacterial small subunit ribosomal RNA
Source: RNAcentral
UCGGGAAUAUUGCACAAUGGAGGAAACUCUGAUGCAGUGACGCCGCGUAUAGGAAGAAGGUCUUUGGAUUGUAAACUAUUGUCGACAGGGAAGAAACGAAUGACAGUACCUGUGGAGGAAGCCCCGGCAAACUACGUGCCAGCAGCCGCGGUAAUACGUAGGGGGCGAGCGUUAUCCGGAUUUAUUGGGUGUAAAGGGUGCGUAGACGGUUAUGCAAGUUGGUUGUGAAAUCCCGAGGCUCAACUUCGGAACUGCAACCAAAACUGUGUAACUCGAGUGCGGGAGAGGAAAGCGGAAUUCCUAGUGUAGCGGUGAAAUGCGUAGAUAUUAGGAGGAACACCAGUGGCGAAGGCGGCUUUCUGGACCGUAACUGACGUUGAGGCACGAAAGUGUGGGGAGCAAACAGG